CGGACCGACGGGAGCUUGCUCCCUUAGGUCAGCGGCGGACGGGUGAGUAACACGUGGGUAACCUGCCUGUAAGACUGGGAUAACUCCGGGAAACCGGGGCUAAUACCGGAUGCUUGAUUGAACCGCAUGGUUCAAUCAUAAAAGGUGGCUUUUAGCUACCACUUACAGAUGGACCCGCGGCGCAUUAGCUAGUUGGUGAGGUAACGGCUCACCAAGGCGACGAUGCGUAGCCGACCUGAGAGGGUGAUCGGCCACACUGGGACUGAGACACGGCCCAGACUCCUACGGGAGGCAGCAGUAGGGAAUCUUCCGCAAUGGACGAAAGUCUGACGGAGCAACGCCGCGUGAGUGAUGAAGGUUUUCGGAUCGUAAAACUCUGUUGUUAGGGAAGAACAAGUACCGUUCGAAUAGGGCGGUACCUUGACGGUACCUAACCAGAAAGCCACGGCUAACUACGUGCCAGCAGCCGCGGUAAUACGUAGGUGGCAAGCGUUGUCCGGAAUUAUUGGGCGUAAAGCGCGCGCAGGCGGUUUCUUAAGUCUGAUGUGAAAGCCCCCGGCUCAACCGGGGAGGGUCAUUGGAAACUGGGGAACUUGAGUGCAGAAG
RNAcentral lists this ribosomal RNA (606 nucleotides) under Bacillus sp. 22BL. Its description in RNAcentral is "bacterial SSU rRNA". It matches the Rfam family "Bacterial small subunit ribosomal RNA", at positions 67 to 654 of the family's 1533-position model. Lineage: Bacteria; Bacillati; Bacillota; Bacilli; Caryophanales; Bacillaceae. The record is from RNAcentral.